Molecule: long non-coding RNA, 857 nt
Organism: Amphiprion ocellaris (clown anemonefish)
Lineage: Eukaryota; Metazoa; Chordata; Actinopteri; Pomacentridae
Source: Ensembl
UGAGGCAGGAACAAAUGGUGAUUUAUUUAACAAAGAAGCAGGGUAAACCAGGAAACAAGUGGGGAAACUAAGUAACCAGGGAUUAAACUAAGGACAACUCACUGAAGGGGAGGGUGACGGUACCGGGAACCGGUGGCCCGGCAGGCGACCUCUGUUCGGGUGCUGGUCGGCAGCGGAGAGCGGGCAGGAGCGUCCCGUUCAGAGGGGUAGGUAGGCAGGAUGGUCCAGAGAGCUGGGGAGCUCAGCAGUAGGAUGUUCUAGAGAGCUGGGGAGCUCAGCAGUAGGAUGUUCUAGAGAGCUGGGGAGCUCAGCAGGUAGGAUGUUCUAGAGAGCUGGGGAGCUCAGCAGUAGGAUGUUCUAGAGAGCUGGGGAGCUCAGCAGUAGGAUGUUCUAGAGAGCUGGGGAGCUCAGCAGUAGGAUGUUCUAGAGAGCUGGGGAGCUCAGCAGUAGGAUGUUCUAGAGAGCUGGGGAGCUCAGCAGUAGGAUGUUCUAGAGAGCUGGGGAGCUCAGCAGUAGGAUGUUCUAGAGAGCUGGGGAGCUCAGCAGUAGGAUGUUCUAGAGAGCUGGGGAGCUCAGCAGUAGGAUGUUCUAGAGAGCUGGGGAGCUCAGCAGUAGGAUGUUCUAGAGAGCUGGAGAGCUCAGCAGGUAGGGAAAUCCAGGGGCAGGUUGGGGAUCCAGGAGCAGGAGGGGGGCAGAAUCCGGAGGGUCUGGUUAGGGAGAUCCGAAGGCUGGUUUCAGGAAGCAGGAUUGGCAGAACCGGGCAGCUGGGACAGCAGAACUGCAGGCAAGAGAACAGAGGUAGAAGGAACAUAUUUCUACUAGAGCAUAAAUGUGCAGGAAGCUAGACAGCAGAGUUU